CUUGAAUUGCACGGUGGCUACAAUGAUAGCUUGCGUGACUAUGUGAUUGCUAAAAUCAAGCAUUAUCAGUCGCUCGGUUCAACUGUUCAAGA
Molecule: transfer RNA, 92 nt
Filed under: Streptococcus pneumoniae
Lineage: Bacteria; Bacillati; Bacillota; Bacilli; Lactobacillales; Streptococcaceae
Description: tRNA-Arg(gcg)
Source: RNAcentral